ACCACAUCAGAUAUUUCUAAGUAGGAAGAAUUUAAUACAAAAAAUAACUUCUUAUGAAAUCAUUAGAAGUAUGGAAGGAUCAGGCUAUACUCUAGGUAUUUAGAAGUGAUUGCUGAAUAAUUUAUAACUGAUUCACCAGCUACUGCCACUGAGGCACUAUUGAAGCCAUGCCUGAGUCAAGAACCUGCUACCACUCUGCUGCCACUGCUUCUCUGGCUUCUGGGUACCCACGAAACUACAAUUCAGGGAUUAGGAGAUGAGAACAAGCAGCCACUGCUGCUGUUGCUGCCACCACUACCACUUCUUCUUACCAAGGAAGCUGUAGAGUGGACGGUGGGAUAUUGUUGCAGAGAAAUCUGAUUUUCACAACUAUGUUUAUGAGCUGAGACAGUCAAAAAUGGACAGAAAAAUGGCCUCUGCCUCAUUUCAGUCUUUUAAAUCCUAUACUAAUGCUUCAAAUUACACUGAAGUGGAACUUGAAUUACAUUCAGAACCUUAGCUGCAAGAGAGUCUGAGAGAUGAGAGGAUUGGUUUUCAAGCAUCUCCAAAUUAGAAUGAGAGUGGAAUGAAAGCCAAUUGAUUUCAUCCACAUUAUCAAGCAUGCUUUGUUUGGUUACAAGCAACAAAAAUGGACUCUGGCUAACAAAGACAAAAAAGCAAUUUAUCAAGAGAGAGUUGUUACAUAGCCAAGGAAGGAAAAAUUAAGUCUUGGAAAAGGUGGAUACCAGGGAAGCUCUGAGGACCCAGGUAAUGGAACUCUCACCCUUUAGUGCCCUACCAUUCAAUUGCUCAGCUCCAUCUGGUUCCAGGAUUCCAUUCCUGAGCAUCACCCUCAAGGUACACAUUUCCAGGAGAGAGAGUCUCAUUGGCCCAGUUAGGUCUGAAUGGUCUCUUCAGUCAUGGUGGAAGUUGUAGGGGGGCAGAGUCUCUUGAGUGACACUUCUCCCAGAACCUUCUGCUGUAGAGAAGUGGUAGAUGUCUAAAGAAAAGGGUGCUAUACAGACAAAAGGUACCAGUGUUUUGUUCUAGUUGUCUGAUUGUGACAUUAGCUACAAGUCACAUUCCUAUUGGAAUAGAUACUUAUACAACAAAAUUUUUGUAAAACCCUGAAAGUAGAACACAUUUCAUUUGUCAGAAUUGCAGACUUGAAUAUUUUGGUAUAGAUCUUUUGGUUAUACAGGUAAGUUUUGCUCCAUGUUUUAAAUAUCUCAUUUUACAGAUAAAGAAAAUAAGGUACUUCAAGGAAUAUAAUGACACAAAUGGAUAUAGAAUCAGUUAUAGAAGUAAGUCUUUUGUCAGUAUUCCUAUGUGUGCCUUAAUGAUUAAAAAUCUCUUUGUCUUUAACUGGCUUUCUUAUAUAUGCUUAAAUCCAUAUAUAGCACUUAUGCACAGUACAUUUCAGAGAGCAACCUGACUUACACCUACCUGCCUUAUCUGAUGUUUGCAUAUGUAGGGACUCUGAGCUGUCAUGAUGACAGCAUGACUCAAAAUUAAUGACAAAUGGAAAUUCACAGCCCCCUAGAAAAGAAAGUUUCUCCCACACUGCUCAGAAAAAUCUUCACGCCAAUACACAGCAAAGAAAGUUGCCACCAAAGUGUAUUAUGACCCAAAAUAGAAUGUGUUCCCCAAAGUUACCACCAUGUUAUUAGCAAAAAUUCCUCAAAAUAAAAUCUAAUGAAGCUCCCAACACCUUGAAGGUAGGAUAUUACCAAAACAAAUUCAUCUGCUUGGCUGUGAGUCAGGAAAGAUCGAAGAUUAUUUGUUUCCAAGUGUCUCUCUAACACUCACUCCCCCUUCCAUUUCCCCUCCUGUGAUGAUGGAGUAACUGCUACAGUUCUUACUCUCUCCAUGGCCUACUGUUUCCCCAUUCUACUAAUGCCCAGGAUAUGUGACUUCCUUUGAUCAAUGGAUGUUUACAGAUGUCAUGGGCACUUAAGCUUGAAGUGUUGUGUGGAGGAGCUUGCUCUGUCUUGGACUUCUGCCUUUGCCAUGAGAAGAACAUGCCUCAGCUAGCCAGUUAUUCAGAGAAAGAUGAGGAACACAGCCUUCUGGCUGACCCACAGACCUGCAUUUUGAAGCUGAGAAGCCCAGUAGAUCUCAGCCAGCCCAGGGCAACUGAUAUCCUCUUGAUUUGCGUAUGCAUAAACAAGACUAGUAGAGAUCAGCAGAGUUGACCCACAGAUGUGUGAUACAUAUGUAAUUAUUGUUGUAUAUCACUGAGAUUUUGUGAUUAUUUAUUAUUCUAUAUUACCGCAGCAGUGACUAACAGAUUCACCCUAAUUCCCUCUCUUGCCUCUCUCCCUCUCUUUCUUCAUCUGUCUUUUUCUCAGUCUUCCUCAUCCUUGAGAACUGUUCCUUCUCAGCCAUGUUAGUCUCUUAGUUAUAUCAGCUAUCCUCUAGAUAGUAAUAUAAAUCCCAGGUAAUGUAGUUUUGAAGUUUAUUGCAAUAAAGGAAAGAGUCCACGUAAAGGGAUUUGAGUCGUCAAUUCUCACUAGCAAUGACUCUUCUCUAACCGGCAAUUUUAAAAAUGUUUUUAUUAUUCACUUGUGCAUGUCACUAUCACUGUGAUUAAUUUUCAUUAUAAGACCAUGUAAGGCAAAUUGAGGCAUAUAAUAAAAAUGGUAUUGAGGGUAACUCUGACUUGGAAACCAUUCAUUAUUCCAUACUAUGGAUUUUCUAGGAAAUAAUCAAUAGUGAGAGGAAACUCAAAAAAUCCAACCCCCCACAUGCAAUAUAUAACAUCUUUUCUUCUCUUCAUCUCUUUUUUGUUCUUUUUUUUUUUCCCCAGCCUGUCUAUUAUGGAGCAGUUUGCCAGGCACAGAGUUACCAUUCCCUUUUCUCCUUUACCAUGUAAAUGUCAGUUGAAAAUACGCCAAAUUCCAGAUACAAUAUAAUCAUAAUACUACCACUGUGCUUCUGGAUUAAUUAAUCAUAAUGAAUGAAAUUUUUCUUGAUUUUGUAUGCCAAGCCUGGAAGCAUAAUUCAAUUUCAUCUUUGACUUCUGUAGCCUGAAGCAGCCACUUAAACUCAGCUGUCAUAAAGCUUUUGGAGGGAGAUCAAAAAACACUAAAUAACAAUAAAAAAAAGAUCCAACUUGCAAAAAGGCAUAAGAGGAAGUGGAAAAAUAUGCUUUAAAUAUAUCAAAGAAAGGCAUAUAUGUAUGUAUAAAAGAAAAGCAUAAUAAAAUAUUGUUUGUUUCCAAAUUAGGAUAAAACGUGAUGACACUGCCUUAAAAAAUCUUUAUGUUUUUCCUCCUAAACCAUCUGGAAAUAAUGUUAGAUAUAAACAAAACACACACUGGAACACUGAAUGGGAACACUGAAAGCCUCAAUGAACACUUUGACAAAUUUGAAAUCUAUCAGAACUUGUUUUCACCUUCAGAACCAGUUUAUCAUUACGAAACCUCUAAGUUAUUCCUGUAACAUGGGCUUUUAGUUCUGUUUUGUUUUGUUCUGUUUGUUUCUAAUGUAAGUCCCAUGUCCUUGGGGGCUCUCUGAAUGUGAUGUCAAAUUGCUUGUGGUUUAAUUUAUAAUAUAUAAUAUUCAGUAUUUUCUCUUACUGCAAAAAUAAAAAUGACUCUAAAUAAAAUAUAAAAACCCUCUGUAAUCCUAGCACUUAGAGAUAUCCCCAGCUAAUGUUUGGGUGUAAAUAAUCUCCUUCUUUGUUACCCGGGUUAUGUGUAUAGAUGUCUGGAGUGUCUGUAUAACCAAAUCAGAUCAUGUAAUACAUAACACCCUCCUUUUAAUAGCUACCUAUUUCAACAUUGUUUCAUAGAACCCCAAACUACUCAGAAUAAAUAAAUAAUACUGAUGAACCUCUCACAAGAGAGGAGAAUACUGGGAUAAGCUCAGUUUGUGCUUGCAAAGAUUUUGUUUGAGACUACAUUUUGGACCUCCAAUAUUCUUUGAAUGACAACCACAGAAUCUUAAACUUUAAGCUCACUCACCUCAUUCACCAUGAUUAUAAGUCCCUGAAAACUAGAAAUUAGUAAGCCUGAUAUUUCUGAGAAAACAGUUCCAUUUUGAGGAUGCUUUUUCUCCAUCCUUUAAAAAGAGUAUUUCCGCAUUCUUUGCCACUUUGCUGCUGACACAAGUUAGACACAGCUUUCAAUAUUAUUCUGAGCAUCUGCCUGAUCCCAGGCAUCCAUUCCAUGGUGACCUGCCAGAAGCCUAGUGAUUUAAAUGAAAUCUCCAUGCUUCUUAGCAGCAAAAAACUGGAGAGAAGCAGUAAUAAAGCAGCUGACAAUACACGGGAAACAUAUUGAACAGUCAACACCUUCUAUUCACCCAUCGAAUGAUUCCUGGGCAGGAUUAGUAGGGAAGAGACAAGAGGGAGUGUGUGUAAACUUAAAUCUGCAACAAAAGAGAUGAUGCAAAGAAGCAUGAGCAAGAUGGGAUGGGAAUAAUUAUUUGAUCAGAACGAUGAAAAUAUAACAUAAAAGCCACAGGAAUCUAUUAGGGUUGAAGGGAAAGUGAGAAAGAACCAAAUGAGUUUUAUUAUAGGAAUAAGUCUCAAUCCAGAGAUUAGAGGUGCUUUGGUGGUAACUGGGGACCCCCAGUGAAGCAAAGACAUUUAAUCUUUGAUUACCACUUCAAGCACAGUGGAUUAACUGUGAGUUUAAUUUUAAGCUGAAUUUACACCUUCAGGAAAAGUAUUUGAAUUUUCACCCCAUUGAGACUUCUAAUAAUCCUUUUAUAAAAUGGUGUCAACUUGCCCAAAUUCAUUCUCCAGCGAUGUUAGCACACAAAGCUAUAUAUAGUAGACAUUUACUCACAUUUUUUAAUGGAAAACUAAACAUCACACAGGUUAUAGUUACAUAUGUGUUCAAUUUUCCAAGAAAAAAAUUCCUACUGGUUUGUGAAUUGGGAAACAACCAUUGUGAUGACAUUUCCCACCCAUCCAACCCUAAAGUAGCUGCAAACCAAUUCACUGUUCAUUUGAUGUAGCAAUUUUCACAAUACAGAAUCCAGUAGAAAUCUGGAACUGAUUCCCAGUGAUACCCACCUUAUGACUCCAAGAAACUUAAACAAGUCUCAAAGGACACUGUUAAGGAUUAGCAAAGUCUUCAGAGGACUUUGGAUGAGAUUAUUUACUUAUACUGAGGCUUCAGUCUGUUUCCAACAGAAAAUAGCAGCCAACAGUGCUGCUGACUGACUAGCUAAUUAUCCUUAUGCAAGGUCUUUCUGCUAUAGCACUUGUUUGGCAUUUCUAAGAGAUCACACCCAUAAUUUGAUGGAAAACCCAUGACAAUACUUUUCCCCAAGGCAAAUGCUUGGUAGCAACUCUGGCUCUGUAAUCCCAUAAGACUUGGCAACAAAGUCUAUUGACAGAAAUAUACUCUGGUCUCAUCAGCAGUUUCAGGGGCCACUUCUUCUUUCCCAGUAAUCAAUCCACAGAGGCAUCUCUUCUUGGAGUUUCCAGAGAAUUGAACUUUUUACUCUAUUUCGCUUGAAAUGAAAUUUCAUCCAUUUAAGUUUUCAAGGGCAGGUGCCAUAGUAUAGCUUUUCCAGCCAUGAUGGUGGGCGUGGGCUGACUUGCUUACAAUGUACUCAUUGUGAUUACUCAUUGAUGCUAAGACUUAUAAGUGAUGCCUCCCUUCAGCAUCUCUUUCUCUGCCCAUCCUGGGAAAAGCAGUGCUUGUUAGAUGCUAGAUAAGUUGGUCUUUACUGUUUCUGACAUAUCAUUCACUGGGGAACAGUAAUGUGCCUUAUGGAAAUACAGUGAAUUGCCUGUUUCAUGGCACCAAUCUGAAAGCACCUUGAAAUCAAUUCAACAGCCUGACUGCCACAUGGCUCUUGAAACCAC
This 5805-nucleotide long non-coding RNA is filed under the name Sus scrofa (pig). RNAcentral's name for it is "lncRNA (ENSSSCG00000056464.1, ENSSSCG00090018615.1, ENSSSCG00110017007.1)". The record is from RNAcentral. Lineage: Eukaryota; Metazoa; Chordata; Mammalia; Artiodactyla; Suidae.